GCCAGCAUGGUGUAGUGGUUUGAGUGUUGGACUAUAUCUCUGGAGGCCAGGGAUCAAAUCCCAGCUUGGCC
This 71-nucleotide transfer RNA is filed under the name Phrynosoma platyrhinos (Desert horned lizard). RNAcentral describes it as "tRNA-OTHER". Lineage: Eukaryota; Metazoa; Chordata; Lepidosauria; Squamata; Phrynosomatidae. The record is from RNAcentral.